RNAcentral lists this ribosomal RNA (463 nucleotides) under uncultured bacterium. RNAcentral describes it as "partial 16S ribosomal RNA". It matches the Rfam family "Bacterial small subunit ribosomal RNA", at positions 28 to 507 of the family's 1533-position model. The record is from RNAcentral.
GAUGAACGCUGACAGAAUGCUUAACACAUGCAAGUCGAUGGGGAAGUGGUGCUUGCACCAUGGUAACCAUGGCGGACGGGUGAGUAACGCGUAAGGAACUUGCCUGCGGGACUGGGAUAACAGCAGGAAACUGCUGAUAAUACCGGAUAAGGUCAUUAAGCUGCAUAGCUUAGUGAUGAAAGGGGACGCCUGCGGAGAGCCUUGCGUCCUAUUAGCUAGUUGGAGGGGUAACGGCCCACCAAGGCGAAGAUAGGUAGCCGGCCUGAGAGGGUGGACGGCCACAAGGGGACUGAGAUACGGCCCUUACUCCUACGGGAGGCAGCAGUGGGGAAUAUUGGACAAUGGGGGCAACCCUGAUCCAGCAAUUCUGUGUGCACGAAGACGGUUUUCGGAUUGUAAAGUGCUUUCAGCAGGGAAGAAGGAAGUGACGGUACCUGCAGAAGAAGCGACGGCUAAAUACGUG